AUGAAGGCGGGUCUCUGGCCCAUCAUCCCUCAAACCCCCGUGGAAGCGAGACGUGCUUCGGCGCCUCUGGGCGUCGAACCCAUGCGGUUUAGCUUGUGUCUGAAGAGAAACAAAACAUUUA
This 121-nucleotide unclassified non-coding RNA is filed under the name uncultured Ascomycota. Its description in RNAcentral is "sequence contains ITS1". Lineage: Eukaryota; Fungi; Ascomycota. The record is from RNAcentral.